UCAAGGAAGUAAGGGUAUAUGGUGGAUGCCCUGGCAUCAGAAGGCGAUGAAGGACGUGACUAACUGCGAUAAGCCACGGGAAGGAGUUAGUAUCCUUUGAUCCGUGGAUUUCCGAAUGGGGAAACCCUUCCAGAGUAAAGUCUGGAAAUCGUAUGCUGAAUACAUAGGCAUACGAAGCGAACCCGGUGAAGUGAAAUAUCUCAGUAGCCGGAGGAAGAGAAAUCAACAGAGAUUCCCUGAGUAGCGACGAGCGAACGGGGAAUAGCCCAAACCCAGCCUGCUUGCAGGAUGGGGGUUGUAGGACCACAUAAGUAGGACUGCUAUACAAUAGUCGAAUGAGCUGGAAAGCUAACCCAUAGAAGGUGAUAGGCCUGUAGGCGAAAUUGUAUAGUUACCGAAGUGGUAUCCUGAGUACCACGGGACACGAGAAAUCCUGUGGGAAUCUGGGGGGACCACCCUCCAAGGCUAAAUACUUGCUGAUGACCGAUAGUGAACCAGUACCGUGAGGGAAAGGUGAAAAGAACCCCUGUGAGGGGAGUGAAAUAGAACCUGAAACCGUAUACCUACAAUCAGUCAGAGUCUCGAUUCGUCGGGAUGAUGGCUUGCCUUUUGAUUAAUGAGCCGGCGAGUUACUGAAUGUAGCGAGGUUAAGGCCAUAACGGCUGGAGCCGAAGGGAAACCGAGUCCUAAUAGGGCGAUUUAGUUGCAUUUAGUAGACCCGAAACCAGGUGAGCUACCCAUGGUCAGGGUGAAGUGCCGAGAAGUCGGCAUGGAGGCCCGAACCGUUGUCAGUUGCAAAUGGCUCGGAUGAACUGUGGGUAGGGGUGAAAGGCUAAUCAAACCUGGUGAUAGCUGGUUCUCCCCGAAAUGUAUUGAGGUACAGCCUCAUGUAUGCCUUGAGGAGGUAGGGCACUGGAUGGGCUAGGGCCCUUUAUAGGGUACCAAACUCAACCAAACCACGAAUGCCUUUAGGUUUAGCAUGGGAGUGAGACUGCGGGUGCUAAGGUCCGUAGUCGAGAGGGAAACAGCCCAGAACGUCAGCUAAGGUCCCCAAGAUAGAGCUAAGUGGGAAAGGAUGUGAGAUUACCGAAACAGCCAGGAGGUUGGCUUAGAAGCAGCCACCCUUUAAAGAAAGCGUAAUAGCUCACUGGUCUAGUGAUUUCGCGCCGAAAAUUUAACGGGGCUUAAGCUCUACACCGAAGCUACGUCUUCGUUCCGAUUCGUCGGGAUGAGGGGUAGGGGAGCAUUCCAUUUUUCGCUGAAGUUCUGACGUGAGUCAGGAUGGAGAGUAUGGAAGAGACUAUGCCGGCAUAAGUAGCAGUAAAUCAAGUGAAAAACUUGAUCGCCGUAAGCCUAAGGUUUCCUGGGGAAGGAUAAUCCGCCCAGGGUUAGUCGGGCCUAAGUCGAGGCCGAAGGGAGUAGACGAUGGACAACUGGUUAAUAUUCCAGUACCAUCUAUGAUGCGUUUGACCUAUGUGGGGACGCAGGAGGAUAGGUUCAGCCGGGCGUUGGUUGUCCCGGUACAAGCCCGCAGGGUAGUGGUUAGGCAAAUCCGGCCACUGUUAGCCCGAAAGGUUACGUGGAUCUCGGGUAAUACCGAGAGAACUGGCUGAUUCCACGCUGCCGAGAAAAACCUCUAUGGAAGUAUCAUGGAUGACCGUACCGCAAACCGACACAGGUAGGUGGGUAGAAGAUACCAAGGCGAACGAGUGAUCCCUCGCAAAGGAACUCGGCAAAAUUGCCCCGUAACUUCGGGAGAAGGGGUGCUCCUAGCAAUAGGAGUUGCAAUAAAUAGACCCAAGCGACUGUUUAGCAAAAACACAGGAGUCUGCGAACUGGAAAACAGGAUGUAUAGACUCUGACGCCUGCCCGGUGCCGGAAGGUUAACAGGAGGGGUUAGUCCUCGGACGAAGCUCUGAAUCGAAGCCCCGGUAAACGGCGGCCGUAACUAUAACGGUCCUAAGGUAGCGAAAUUCCUUGUCGGGUAAGUUCCGACCUGCACGAAUGGCGUAACGACUUGGGUGCUGUCUCUGCGAGGGGCUCGGCGAACUUGAGGUACCGGUGAAGACGCCGGUUACCCGCGACAAGACGGAAAGACCCCGUGCACCUUUACUGCAACUUGACAGUGAAUUUUGGUGACACAUGUGUAGGAUAGGUGGGAGGCUUUGAAGCUUUGACGCAAGUCAGGGUGGAGCCAACCUUGAAAUACCACCCUUGUUUUAUUGAGGUUCUAACUCAUCCCCAUUAUCUGGGGAGAGGACACUGUCUGGUGGGUAGUUUGACUGGGGCGGUCGCCUCCAAAAAUGUAACGGAGGCGCCCAAAGGUUUGCUCAGGCUGGUCGGAAAUCAGCCGUCGAGUGCAAUGGCAUAAGCAAGCUUAACUGUGAGGCAAACGAGCCGAGCAGAUGGGAAACCAGGGCAUAGUGAUCCGGUGGUUCUGUGUGGAAGGGCCAUCGCUCAUCGGAUAAAAGGUACGCCGGGGAUAACAGGCUGAUAGCAUCCAAGAGUUCAUAUCGACGAUGCUGUUUGGCACCUCGAUGUCGGCUCAUCGCAUCCUGGGGCUGAAGUGGGUCCCAAGGGUUGGGCUGUUCGCCCAUUAAAGCGGUACGCGAGCUGGGUUCAGAACGUCGUGAGACAGUUCGGUCCCUAUCUGUCGUGGGCGCAGGAGACUUGAGAGGAGCUGUCCCUAGUACGAGAGGACCGGGAUGGACGAACCUCUGGUGUGUGGGUUGUUCUGCCAAGAGCAGCGCCCAGUAGCUAAGUUCGGACGGGAUAACCGCUGAAAGCAUCUAAGCGGGAAGCCCACCUCAAGAUUAGGUCUCCCUCACGCUUAAGCGUGACUGAAGAUCAGUGGUAGACUACCACAUUGAUAGGCUGGGUGUGUAAGUCCGGUGACGGAUUGAGCUAACCAGUACUAAUAGAUCGUGAGCCUUGACUCC
Molecule: ribosomal RNA, 2939 nt
Filed under: invertebrate metagenome
Description: bacterial LSU rRNA
Rfam family: Bacterial large subunit ribosomal RNA
Source: RNAcentral